Rhinopithecus bieti (black snub-nosed monkey) is the source of this 374-nucleotide long non-coding RNA. The record is from Ensembl. Lineage: Eukaryota; Metazoa; Chordata; Mammalia; Primates; Cercopithecidae.
UCUGGGCAGGGUGAUUAAGAACCAAUUAUGUCUUAACCUCUCUCUUUUUUUCCUCCAUUUGCUGCUAAAGUGAAGACUGAAGCCCUAGGCUAUUGCAGAAGUUGGGUGCCUGAAGUACACGUGGAAAUAUGCCAACUGAACAUUGGACUACCACCGCCUGCCCCUGGCUCAGCGCCCGGUGCCAACAGAACACCUUUCAGGAUCCACAGCAACGCAGACAACGGAACUCACACAGGCUUCGGUUCUCAAGAGGCCAUCAAAACAUAACUGCUGCGGAGGCAAUACCUUACCUUCCCCUCACUACACUCACAGAAUGUUCUGGAUCAGUGUGUCUCACACCUUUGGAUCUUAUAAGCUACUUGGAAAAAUUUUAA